AGUGGCGAACGGGUGCGUAACGCGCAUGCAACCUACCCUAUACAGGGGGAUAGCCCGGAGAAAUCUGGAUUAAUACCCCAUGGUACUAAGUUGAGGCAUUUUGAUUUAGUUAAAGAUUCAUCGGUAUAGGAUGGGCAUGCGUCUGAUUAGCUAGUUGGCGGUGUAACGGACCACCAAGGCGACGAUCAGUAGGGGUUCUGAGAGGAAGGUCCCCCACACUGGCACUGAGAUACGGGCCAGACUCCUACGGGAGGCAGCAGUAGGGAAUAUUGGGCAAUGGACGAGAGUCUGACCCAGCCAUGCCGCGUGCAGGAAGACGGCGUUCUGCGUUGUAAACUGCUUUUAUCUGGGAAGAAAAAGUCCAUGCGUGGAAAAUUGCCGGUACCAGAUGAAUAAGCACCGGCUAACUCCGUGCCAGCAGCCGCGGUAAUACGGAGGGUGCAAGCGUUGUCCGGAU
This 457-nucleotide ribosomal RNA is filed under the name uncultured Bacteroidota bacterium. RNAcentral describes it as "bacterial SSU rRNA". It matches the Rfam family "Bacterial small subunit ribosomal RNA", at positions 94 to 550 of the family's 1533-position model. Lineage: Bacteria; Pseudomonadati; Bacteroidota. The record is from RNAcentral.